GAUGAACGCUGGCGGCGUGCCUAAUACAUGCAAGUCGAGCGAACAGAUGAGGAGCUUGCUCCUCUGACGUUAGCGGCGGACGGGUGAGUAACACGUGGAUAACCUACCUAUAAGACUGGGAUAACUUCGGGAAACCGGAGCUAAUACCGGAUAAUAUAUUGAACCGCAUGGUUCAAUAGUGAAAGACGGUUUUGCUGUCACUUAUAGAUAGCUCCCCGCCGCAUUAGCUAGUUGGUAAGGUAACGGCUUACCAAGGCAACGAUCCGAAGCCGCCCUGGAGGGGUGACGGGCACCACUGGAACUGAGACAGGGUCCAGACUCCUCCGGGAGGCACCGUUAGGGAAUUUCCCGCAAUGGGCGAAGGCCUGACGGGGCAACGCCGCGUGAGGGAGGAAGGUUUUCGGAUCGUAAACCCUUUUUAUUAGGGAAGAACAAAGGUGUAAGUAACUAUGCACGUCUUGACGGUACCUAAUCAGAAAGCCACGGCUAACUACGUG
RNAcentral lists this ribosomal RNA (497 nucleotides) under uncultured bacterium. RNAcentral describes it as "partial 16S ribosomal RNA". It matches the Rfam family "Bacterial small subunit ribosomal RNA", at positions 28 to 507 of the family's 1533-position model. The record is from RNAcentral.